GUGAAGAGUGGUCUCAGGGCUGAUUUGGUGAUGGUCU
This 37-nucleotide small RNA is filed under the name Saccharolobus solfataricus. RNAcentral describes it as "ncRNA Sso-205". Lineage: Archaea; Thermoproteati; Thermoproteota; Thermoprotei; Sulfolobales; Sulfolobaceae. The record is from RNAcentral.